GCAGCACAUACGAACCCGACUUGAUAGGAGGCGUCUCAGGUUAAACCGAAACUUGUUUUUCUUUGUUUUUAGUACUCCGAGAUUAAUUUAUUAGAGAAGAAGAUAGUAGAUAUAUCUACUUAGCUUGAUAUUUCUUGAAUAUUUAACAUUAAUGUGUUUUAAUCGGAGCUAAUAGGCGGACUUGUGUCGAAGACAAAUAGCUUCGUUAUUUUAAUACGUGUAUUACCUUUAUAGAGUAACCAUGUAUUUUUGUUUAAAUGACAAGUUUAAUCCCGCAAAUUUUACGCGGAAUCGAGAACGACCUUCACUCGAAACUGAAGAUUUUUUUUUUUGUGUGUGAGACUUCGCCAUUUAGUUAUGGCGAUAACGUUAGGCUAAACGAGCCAAAUAUAGACUAACGUUAAUGUUAACGUUUUCCGCAUAUUAUUGCGGUCGUGUCGUGAACAGACACUCAAAAUAGCGCCUAUUCGAUUAUCAACAUAUCAGAUUAUUGAUAUGUUUUCUUUAGAGAACAGAGCCAAAGUCUUUCCUAUCGGUAGUUGGCUCAAGAUGGGAGCCGUGACGUAGCCGUCUGCAAACGUUGGCUAUUGGUUAAUUUGAACAACGCGUUCACGUGGCCGAGCUGUUUCCUAUGACGACGGUAGGCUGAAAUUUUUAGGGAGUGGUCAGCUAGGUUAGCAACUGUUAGCACUAGCGAACUAAACGACCGCUUGUACUUUUUGUCAGCCCGAAGUAGAAGGAGAAAAAAGCAGAAGAGGAACAAAAGCCUUAGUAACAAGAUGAAGUUUACUUUUGUAAAUGACUAUUUGUCCAUACUUGACAGAAACCAAGGCAGUAAAGUCAGAAGUUGAAGAGGCCAGGACGAGCAGACCCUUUCUUAAAAUAGAUCAGACAUUUUAAUUCACAAAAGUCAGACACUGAAGAUGCCAAGACAAGAAUGACCACACGGUCUCUUAAAAUGGAAGAGCAGAAAUUUUAACUUACAAAAGGUAGACACUGAAGAGGCCAAGACAAGAAUGAGAAGACAAUCUCUGAAAACAGAAGAGCAGAAAAUUUAAUUCCCAAAAGUCAGACACAGAAGAUGCCAAGACAAGAAUGAGCAGACAAUCUCUGAAAAUAGAAGAGCAGAAAUUUAAUUUACAAAAGUCAAACGCUGAAGAGACCAAGACAAGAAUGAGCAGACAAUCUCUGAAAAUAGAAGAGCAGAAAUUUAAUUUACAAAAGUCAGACACUGAAGAUGCAAGACAAGAUUGAGCAGACAAUCUCUGAAAAUAGAAGAGCAGAAAUUUUAAUUUACAAAAGUCAGACACUGAAGAUGCCAGGACAAGAAUGAGCAGACAAUCUCUGAAAAUAGAAGAGCAGAAAUUUUAAUUUACAAAAUCAAAAGCUGAAGAGACCAAGACAAGAAUAAAGAAGAACAAGAAUACUAAACAGUUCAGAGCAACCUUGUUAUGGAAAAGAGAUAUUAUAGAAAACUUGAGUUAAUUAAAAAGUUACAUCGAGUCUAAUGCAAAUAUUAUUUAAUACGUUAUGGCGCAGCAGUCUCAAAUUAAUAGGAGCCAAAUCAGCAGAGGACAUCAAUGAUGUAGACUUAAGAGAACAUGCUUAAACUACCUUUUCCACUAAAGGAAGCAACAAAGUCUUGUCAAUAAGAUAAUCAAAAGCUUUAUUUUAGCUAUAUAAAAUUGCGUUUUGUUUUUUUUAAAGCCAUUUUUAUUUUAUUUUCAGGCGUUAUGUAUUUAAUUUAGUAACGGUCAAAUGGAAAUGAUUUCAGUUCCUUUGAUGAGCACUAGCUUUAGCUCAGAGCCACAAGCUCAGGAUUUCAUUUUGUGGUGUCAACUUAAAAAAAAAAAAAAAGUUUUAUUUUUUAUUUAUUUUUUUGCUUUAGCGAAGACAGAAGAUUUUUUUUUUUUUUUUCCGGGGAAAUGGACUGAGUUAUCGUGGGGAGGAAUGGACUUAGUUAUUAGAGGAAGAAUGGACUUAGUUAUUAGAGGAACAUCGCAGGACCAGCGUGGAGCGAGGCCAUGGGACACAGGGAGGACCAGAAUGGAGCCAGGCAGUACAGGACCAGAGGGCAUGGAGGGAGGAUCAGAGGGCCCAAAAGAGCAGCAGGCAGCAGCAGUCAUCGAGGGUACACCAGAUGGAGCCAGAGGCGCAGGGCAGGGUAGCAGCGCAGAGGGGCCAUCACUGACGCAGUGGCAGCAGAUCCAGAGCAAGCCAGCAAGCCAGCCAGCCAGCCAGCCAGUGGUCAGAGGGUGGUGGGACAGGGCAUACAAGUGUCUUCUAGCAGCGUCAGUUUAAAAGCAAGGGAUUGGUUUGUAUGUUGGGUCGAGGUAUCUCUGUAACAUUGUCAGGCAAUUUAGUUUUCUAUAUUUCUUUCCAGUAGAAACUGUUGUAGAACACAAUGUCUCGCACAGCUCUCUCUUCCUUUUUUCAGGCAAGCCGUUUAAUGGUAUCGUACCGUGGAUUUCCCUCCUGUUGUUCGCUGACAUAAGUGUGGUGGUGUCUGCUGUCAUGAAUGCCUUGGUAGUGUGCUGGAGAGAGGAGCGCCUUAUCGGGACUUCUCUACCCCCUGCAAAUCAGAAGUAGUUCCCCGGCCGGAGGGAGAGGCAUGCCUUUGUUGGUCAAUAGGUCUACCCCCAGAGAAGUUUUCAGCAUUGGAGUGUGAGAGUGGAUGGUCUCCUGUGCGACCGAUUGAGUGUAUUCAGCAACCCUUCAGUGCUUCAGCAGCUCCUCAUUGGUACAAAUCAGCUACGUCUACCUCUUAACCCGAGCAGUGAGUGAGUGAAUGCAUGAAAUGUACAUGUGGGUGUAACUAUCCUGUACAUCAAGUCAUUAUUACCUAAUGCUGUAUAGUAUCCAGUAGUUUUGUAAUUCAAAGAAAUGCAUUGAAAUAGGUUCUGACUACAAAAGAUUUUUGGGUUAAGGGGUUGGGGGGGGUGGGUACCUAAAACGUGUUUCGAGUUCUUCUUUUCACAGGCAUGGCCCCCUAAAGGUGACCCAUCGAAAGAACCCCCCCGUGCUAGCCGCUCUGUUGAGCUCAUCUUAUUUACUGUAGUGCUUUGGAUCGGGAUCAUGUGCAUCAACUGCGGUUUUAAGAGAUAUAGGAAGGUAUUUGGUGGUGUUCAAUUAAGUCCAUUAGAUUCACUAUUUAUCAAUUCUACACUAUUUGGAAACGUGUUGUAAAUGGGGUUUGAUGCACAUGUCUUGGGUAGCGGGAGGGUGGGUUGUGGGGCGUUAAUCAGUCUCUUCCUAGACUUCACAGCUCCUCGUUACCCAACGCAAAACGGCUUGAAUAGGAAACAUCCAGUCGCACCCAACAAGAUUCAAGUGGACACUUUGCCUCCCAGGAUAGCAACCUCAAAACUAGCCUCCUGGUGUAGCAAGAAUUUUCCCAGGGAGUGCGGUAACAAGUCUCUUUACUAGAAGUCAUUGUAAUUCUGUACAGGCUGCAAAUUGCUUUGUGGGGUUGGGAGGGGCUUUGUAUUUGUGACUCUUGCAGAUAGUUAUAUGGCCCGCCCUUCAAAAAUUCUCCAUUCAAGUCUACGUCUUCAGUUCAUAAGGAAGGGAUCCUUCGCGUUGAGGCCUGCGGUAUUUAAAUGCUUCUUCUGGAAAAUGGUUAAAAUUAAAUUGAAUUUGAAGUGUGUUCAUAGUCAUUCAGUUGUCCUUUUCUAAAAAGGCAGUUGUACUUGUAGCUACUGUAAUGCCAGUAAUUGUGUUGUAGUUCUGUACUGCUUCAUUGUAUUUGGGGAGGGGUAUUGUGGGAGAGGCUUUUUCCUUUUGCAUUUUUCAGUGUGCUGUGUCCUGUGCGCUUUCCAAUACCCGAGAUCAUCAGGAACUCUCCUAACUCAUUGUAUGUUCAAGUUUCCUUGCGCAGCGAGCAUCACGUAAGGUCACUAAAUGUGUUCACAUUAUCUUUAACAUUCAUUGUCUGGCAAAAUGCCUCCACUGCAAUUCCUUUGCAAUUAGUUACUAUGCCUUGUAUUGACAAUACAAUGAGUGAACUAUCUGUAAAGGAUUUUCUUAUUGCAUAAUAAAUGCAUAGCUUGUUGUGAUUGAA
Scomber japonicus (chub mackerel) is the source of this 4060-nucleotide long non-coding RNA. RefSeq lists it as uncharacterized. The transcript has 2 exons. NCBI's taxonomy places the organism in Eukaryota, Metazoa, Chordata, Actinopteri, Scombriformes, Scombridae. The record is from RefSeq and is a predicted model, not a curated record.